GAGGCCAGAAUUCAGUUUGAAUCUAAGGAG
Molecule: non-coding RNA, 30 nt
Filed under: Callithrix jacchus (white-tufted-ear marmoset)
Lineage: Eukaryota; Metazoa; Chordata; Mammalia; Primates; Cebidae
Also listed under: 2 other names
Source: RNAcentral